Molecule: small nucleolar RNA, 109 nt
Organism: Humulus lupulus (European hop)
Lineage: Eukaryota; Viridiplantae; Streptophyta; Magnoliopsida; Rosales; Cannabaceae
Source: RefSeq, a predicted model, not a curated record
AUUCCAUGAUGUGGGCACUUCCUUUUUACGUCUCUUUAAAUAGUUCCCAUGCAUCAUAUAAAUAUUCCCCAUGCAGUUGAUGGAAAUUAUUAAUCUCUCUUCUUAUUCU